This 533-nucleotide ribosomal RNA is filed under the name Bacillus sp. (in: firmicutes). RNAcentral describes it as "bacterial SSU rRNA". It matches the Rfam family "Bacterial small subunit ribosomal RNA", at positions 61 to 574 of the family's 1533-position model. The record is from RNAcentral. Lineage: Bacteria; Bacillati; Bacillota; Bacilli; Caryophanales; Bacillaceae.
GUCGAGCGAAUGGAUUAAGAGCUUGCUCUUAUGAAGUUAGCGGCGGACGGGUGAGUAACACGUGGGUAACCUGCCCAUAAGACUGGGAUAACUCCGGGAAACCGGGGCUAAUACCGGAUAACAUUUUGAACCGCAUGGUUCGAAAUUGAAAGGCGGCUUCGGCUGUCACUUAUGGAUGGACCCGCGUCGCAUUAGCUAGUUGGUGAGGUAACGGCUCACCAAGGCAACGAUGCGUAGCCGACCUGAGAGGGUGAUCGGCCACACUGGGACUGAGACACGGCCCAGACUCCUACGGGAGGCAGCAGUAGGGAAUCUUCCGCAAUGGACGAAAGUCUGACGGAGCAACGCCSCGUGAGUGAUGAAGGCUUUCGGGUCGUAAAACUCUGUUGUUAGGGAAAAACAAGUGCUAGUUGAAUAAGCUGGCACCUUGACGGUACCUAACCAGAAAGCCACGGCUAACUACGUGCCAGCAGCCGCGGUAAUACGUAGGUGGCAAGCGUUAUCCGGAAUUAUUGGGCGUAAAGCGCGCGCAG